RNAcentral lists this unclassified non-coding RNA (494 nucleotides) under Hevea brasiliensis (rubber tree). The record is from RNAcentral. Lineage: Eukaryota; Viridiplantae; Streptophyta; Magnoliopsida; Malpighiales; Euphorbiaceae.
GGGGACCCAAAUCAAGUUCCUGCAUCUGGAAACUUGAGUAAUGAGGAGUAUGAUAACGAAGAGCAGACUGAUUCAGAGAGGUAUAGCUUUGCUCUCCGGAUUGUCCUUUUGUUGGUUGUGGCAUGGAUGACUCUUCUUGUCUUCAACUCAGCAUUGAUAGUGGUACCAACUUCACUUGGACGGGCACUUUUCAAUGCCAUUCCGCUUCUUCCCAUCACACAUGGAAUCAAGUGCAAUGAUAUGUAUGCUUUUGUCAUCGGGAGCUACGUUAUUUGGACGGCAAUAGCUGGUGCCAGAUAUUCCAUUGAAUAUGUCAGAGCAAGGAGGGUGACAGUUUUGUUGGGCCAGAUAUGGAAAUGGUUUGCCAUUGUCGUCAAGAGUUCUGCACUUUUGUCAAUUUGGAUCUUUCUCAUUCCAGUAUUGAUUGGCUUGUUAUUUGAGCUUCUGGUCAUCGUGCCUAUGCGAGUUCCGGUGGAUGAAAGCCCAGUUUUCCU